UACGAAGGGGACUAGCGUUGUUCGGAAUCACUGGGCGUAAAGCGCACGUAGGCGGAUCAUUUAGUCAGGGGUGAAAUCCCGGGGCUCAACCUCGGAACUGCCUUUGAUACUGAUGGUCUCGAGUCCGAUAGAGGUGGGUAGAAUUCCUAGUGUAGAGGUGAAAUUCGUAGAUAUUAGGAAGAAUACCGGUGGCGAAGGCGGCCCACUGGAUCGGUACUGACGCUGAGGUGCGAAAGCGUGGGGAGCAAAC
RNAcentral lists this ribosomal RNA (250 nucleotides) under uncultured Hyphomicrobium sp. RNAcentral describes it as "partial 16S ribosomal RNA". It matches the Rfam family "Bacterial small subunit ribosomal RNA", at positions 524 to 773 of the family's 1533-position model. The record is from RNAcentral. Lineage: Bacteria; Pseudomonadati; Pseudomonadota; Alphaproteobacteria; Hyphomicrobiales; Hyphomicrobiaceae.